Molecule: long non-coding RNA, 437 nt
Organism: Alosa sapidissima (American shad)
Lineage: Eukaryota; Metazoa; Chordata; Actinopteri; Clupeiformes; Clupeidae
Exons: 3
Source: RefSeq, a predicted model, not a curated record
AUAUUACUAGCACGACAUCAACAGAAGAAUGGGGGAGAGUGGGGUGAUUGGUGCCAGCGGGGAAGUUGUGCCACCCCCUAUUUCUAGGAAACAAGAAAAUGGUCAUGUGACCACACAUUUUUGAAGACUCAGCCAUUUCAAUCAUCCUGCAGAGAAGAGAGCCUCAUUGCAUGAGAGGAUGUGAUUGGUUUGGAGCCUUUAAAGCACGCCGUCAUUUGUCAUGCCACACUCCUGAAGCAACCUCUGUUGGUAGAGCUACUGCCAUUAAUAGGCACAACAUGGGGGAGUUAUUUGGUAACCUAAAGUGAUGGACAGGUAGGACUUCCCUCCACACAAGAUCUACAACAUGGAUGAAACUGGUGUGACAACCGAAAAUGACCUUUGAUGUGCUCAUGUGGCGCAAUAGGCUUGUAGAAAAUUGGCCUUUGAUGUUGUAA